This 368-nucleotide long non-coding RNA is filed under the name Ananas comosus (pineapple). RNAcentral's name for it is "long non-coding RNA (ACOM_LNC015311)". The record is from RNAcentral. Lineage: Eukaryota; Viridiplantae; Streptophyta; Magnoliopsida; Poales; Bromeliaceae.
UGAUAUUUUAUGUAAUUAGAGGGUCUUUUAUGCAUUUGUGCUUUGCGUGGCUACUGUGGGCAGUGUGUAGGAGUUUGUAUUGAUCGCUGGACUGAUUGUCCAUGGUCCGUUAGCUUUUGCGGAAAUCGGUAGGUCGAUUUCGGUGCGUUUUUCGGCGAAAUUCGCCGAAAGAACGCGGUUUCGGUUCGGAUUCUUUCCGACGGUGUUUGGUUGCUUCGUGUUUUGUCGCUAAGCCUUGUUGGCUAGUCACCAUCGUCAUUUUGUGGGUUCGAUGAUGAUAGGUGAGCGACGGAGGGUUCCGGUGUCGAAAUAGACACUUCCGGGAACCCGGAUUCGUACGAUGAUCCGGCGAUGAUCGUAUGUUGUGU